UGUUUGACCUGUGACCAGGUUUUUCCUAUUUGCACUGCAUUUUUCUGGAGACUGGCAAGUGCCCUAGUAGUAACUUUGCCUGUCCAUACCCAAUGUUUUCCAACACAGAAUAGUUUACCCUCAAAAACAGAAGUUCCUCAUAGAUGGUGGUGAUCACUCUAGUGGCCAUCCCAUAUUCACCAUUUAAAAAAUAAUUUUGCUCUAGAAAGAUGUUCAGAAACAAGCAAGGAAAAAAAUGUAAGAGCCAAAUUAUUUCUAGAUGCACAUAAGCAAACCAAAAUGAUACCCCAAAAAAGAGUACUCACAAAAAUUUUAAACCAGGCAUGUAGAGCAAACAAAAUAUUAAACCAGGUGCAUAGAAAAAAAAGCAAAUGUGAAUUUAUCAGAGAACACAGGAGGUCAUCAUAGACAGAACAAAAACUCUGCAAAAACCAGAGUAUUAUCCAGAAGAUCAGUGUCCUUAUACCAGAAAGGGCUUGCCAGAAAAGACAAAAAGUCUUUUGUGGUCCAAGAGGGAUGCAGUGUCCUUUGUUAAGGCAGCUUUUAUCCCAACCAGAUCCCGAAUAAAGUCAAAAGAACUCACCAUAAGGAGGGAGUUCAGCCUGAGAGAAGACUACUCACCAGAAGAGCUUGAUUAACAAUUUUACGGCAUUUUACCCCUUAAAAAACUCUUCCAUAUACGCAAUCACCUUUGAACUCCACAACACAUGGAUAUCCAGCUAUUUUGCCCCCUUCCACCAGCACCAAUAUCUUUUGCUUACUAAAGGAGGUACUCACAACGAAGAUCACACAUGACUCUUUAUUUUCUAUUAUGAAGCAACAGCCUGAAAAAACAGCCACUUAUUAAAUACUGAGGAUACAUUGCCUCUGAUUUCUACUACUCUUCCUUCCUGGCUCCUGACUAACCAGCCAAGACAGUUACAGCUUAGGAAUUGCCUCAAGCUAUUCUCCAGCUAUAUCAAGUUUAUGCGCAGGUGUGUUGCUCAGAACUCUAUAUACUGGGAUUUUUUUCUUCAACAUGUUCUUGCAGGGCCACCUCUAAGUAAUGCUUUGGGCAGCAACAGAUACUUUUUCUCCUGUAGCAUAGUAUUGAGCCAAGCUAUCUCUAAACCAGACCAGACCUUUCUUUCUUCUCCUUUUUCAAUUAUCUGGUCAUACAUAAGACAUCACAGACCAUAAUAUAAUCUGAUUUUGG
This 1195-nucleotide long non-coding RNA is filed under the name Homo sapiens (human). RNAcentral's name for it is "HSALNT0204578". Lineage: Eukaryota; Metazoa; Chordata; Mammalia; Primates; Hominidae. The record is from RNAcentral.